UACAGAGGUCUCAAGCGUUGUUCGGAUUCAUUGGGCGUAAAGGGUGCGUAGGUGGCGCCGUAAGUCAGGUGUGAAAUUUCGGAGCUUAACUCCGAAACUGCAUUUGAUACUGCGGUGCUUGAGGACUGGAGAGGAGACUGGAAUUUACGGUGUAGCAGUGAAAUGCGUAGAUAUCAAGUGGAACACCAGUGGCGAAGGCGAGUCUCUGGACAUUUCCUGACGCUGAGGCACGAAAGCCAGGGGAGCAAACGGG
Molecule: ribosomal RNA, 253 nt
Filed under: uncultured bacterium
Lineage: Bacteria
Description: partial 16S ribosomal RNA
Rfam family: Bacterial small subunit ribosomal RNA
Source: RNAcentral